GGGCGGUUAGUUCAGCUGGUUAGAACGCGUGACUUACAUUCACGAGAUUCAGGGGUUCAAAUCCUCUACCGCCCA
RNAcentral lists this transfer RNA (75 nucleotides) under Candidatus Omnitrophota bacterium. RNAcentral's name for it is "tRNA-Val". It matches the Rfam family "tRNA". Rfam says of the family: Transfer RNA (tRNA) molecules are approximately 80 nucleotides in length. Their secondary structure includes four short double-helical elements and three loops (D, anti-codon, and T loops). The record is from RNAcentral. Lineage: Bacteria; Pseudomonadati; Candidatus Omnitrophota.